GUGCUGGCUUCAUCAGCACAUAUACUAACAUUGGAACAAUACAUAAAAGAUUAGCAUGGCCCCUGCGCAAGGAUGACACGUACAUUUGUGAAGUGUUCUAUAUUGAG
Anolis sagrei ordinatus is the source of this 107-nucleotide small nuclear RNA. Lineage: Eukaryota; Metazoa; Chordata; Lepidosauria; Squamata; Anolidae. The record is from RefSeq and is a predicted model, not a curated record.